RNAcentral lists this ribosomal RNA (480 nucleotides) under uncultured bacterium. Its description in RNAcentral is "bacterial SSU rRNA". It matches the Rfam family "Bacterial small subunit ribosomal RNA", at positions 28 to 523 of the family's 1533-position model. The record is from RNAcentral.
GACGAACGCUGGCGGCGUGCUUAACACAUGCAAGUCGAACGGAAAGGCCCUGCUUUUGUGGGGUGCUCGAGUGGCGAACGGGUGAGUAACACGUGAGUAACCUGCCCUUGACUUUGGGAUAACUUCAGGAAACUGGGGCUAAUACCGGAUAGGAGCUCCUGCUGCAUGGUGGGGGUUGGAAAGUUUCGGCGGUUGGGGAUGGACUCGCGGCUUAUCAGCUUGUUGGUGGGGUAGUGGCUUACCAAGGCUUUGACGGGUAGCCGGCCUGAGAGGGUGACCGGCCACAUUGGGACUGAGAUACGGCCCAGACUCCUACGGGAGGCAGCAGUGGGGAAUAUUGCACAAUGGGCGGAAGCCUGAUGCAGCAACGCCGCGUGCGGGAUGACGGCCUCGGUUGUAACCGCUUCGCCUGUGACGAAGCGUGAGUGACGGUAAUGGGUAAGAAGACACCGGCUAACUACGUGCCAGCAGCCGCGGUAA